RNAcentral lists this ribosomal RNA (253 nucleotides) under uncultured bacterium. RNAcentral describes it as "partial 16S ribosomal RNA". It matches the Rfam family "Bacterial small subunit ribosomal RNA", at positions 524 to 776 of the family's 1533-position model. The record is from RNAcentral.
UACGGAGGGGGCGAGCGUUAUUCGGAAUUAUUGGGCGUAAAGGGCGCGUAGGCGGCCUGAUAAGUCAAAGGUGAAAUCCCUCGGCUCAACUGAGGAAUUGCCUUUGAAACUGUCAGGCUUGAGGCCGGGAGGGGGUGGCGGAAUUCCCAGUGUAGCGGUGAAAUGCGUAGAUAUUGGGAGGAACACCAGUGGCGAAGGCGGCCACCUGGAUCGGUUCUGACGCUGAUGCGCGAAAGCGUGGGGAGCAAACAGG